UAACCUGCCCAAGAGAUCGGGAUAACACCUGGAAACAGAUGCUAAUACCGGAUAACAACAGAUGAUGCCUAUCAACUGUUUAAAAGAUGGUUCUGCUAUCACUCUUGGAUGGACCUGCGGUGCAUUAGCUAGUUGGUAGGGUAACGGCCUGCCAAGGCGAUGAUGCAUAGCCGAGUUUAGAUACUGAUCGGCCACAUUGGGACUGAGACACGGCCCAAACUCCUACGGGAGGCAGCAGCC
RNAcentral lists this ribosomal RNA (240 nucleotides) under uncultured Lactobacillus sp. Its description in RNAcentral is "partial 16S ribosomal RNA". It matches the Rfam family "Bacterial small subunit ribosomal RNA", at positions 122 to 355 of the family's 1533-position model. Lineage: Bacteria; Bacillati; Bacillota; Bacilli; Lactobacillales; Lactobacillaceae. The record is from RNAcentral.